RNAcentral lists this transfer RNA (63 nucleotides) under Idotea baltica. Its description in RNAcentral is "tRNA-Leu". Lineage: Eukaryota; Metazoa; Arthropoda; Malacostraca; Isopoda; Idoteidae. The record is from RNAcentral.
CCUUGUUUGGCAGAAAAAUGCACCAGGUUUAGGACCAGCUCAUACGGCAGUCCGUAACAAGGG